GGUUAAGCGACUAAGCGUACACGGUGGAUGCCCUGGCAGUCAGAGGCGAUGAAGGACGUGCUAAUCUGCGAAAAGCGUCGGUAAGGUGAUAUGAACCGUUAUAACCGGCGAUGUCCGAAUGGGGAAACCCAGUGUGAUUCGUCACACUAUCGUUAACUGAAUACAUAGGUUAACGAGGCGAACCGGGGGAACUGAAACAUCUAAGUACCCCGAGGAAAAGAAAUCAACCGAGAUUCCCCCAGUAGCGGCGAGCGAACGGGGAGCAGCCCAGAGUCUGAAUCAGCUUGUGUGUUAGUGGAACGGUCUGGAAAGUCCGACGGUACAGGGUGAUAGUCCCGUACACCAAAAUGCACAGGUUGUGAACUCGAAGAGUAGGGCGGGACACGUGGUAUCCUGUCUGAAUAUGGGGGGACCAUCCUCCAAGGCUAAAUACUCCUGACUGACCGAUAGUGAACCAGUACCGUGAGGGAAAGGCGAAAAGAACCCCGGCGAGGGGAGUGAAAAAGAACCUGAAACCGUGUACGUACAAGCAGUGGGAGCACCUUCGGGUGUGACUGCGUACCUUUUGUAUAAUGGGUCAGCGACUUAUAUUCUGUAGCAAGGUUAACCGUAUAGGGGAGCCGCAGGGAAACCGAGUCUUAACUGGGCGUUAAGUUGCAGGGUAUAGACCCGAAACCCGGUGAUCUAGCCAUGGGCAGGUUGAAGGUUGGGUAACACUAACUGGAGGACCGAACCGACUAAUGUUGAAAAAUUAGCGGAUGACUUGUGGCUGGGGGUGAAAGGCCAAUCAAACCGGGAGAUAGCUGGUUCUCCCCGAAAGCUAUUUAGGUAGCGCCUCGUGAAUUCAUCUUCGGGGGUAGAGCACUGUUUCGGCUAGGGGGUCAUCCCGACUUACCAACCCGAUGCAAACUACGAAUACCGAAGAAUGUUAUCACGGGAGACACACGGCGGGUGCUAACGUCCGUCGUGAAGAGGGAAACAACCCAGACCGCCAGCUAAGGUCCCAAAGUCAUGGUUAAGUGGGAAACGAUGUGGGAAGGCACAGACAGCCAGGAUGUUGGCUUAGAAGCAGCCAUCAUUUAAAGAAAGCGUAAUAGCUCACUGGUCGAGUCGGCCUGCGCGGAAGAUGUAACGGGGCUAAACCAUGCACCGAAGCUGCGGCAGCGACACUAUGUGUUGUUGGGUAGGGGAGCGUUCUGUAAGCCUGCGAAGGUGACCUGUGAGGGUUGCUGGAGGUAUCAGAAGUGCGAAUGCUGACAUAAGUAACGAUAAAGCGGGUGAAAAGCCCGCUCGCCGGAAGACCAAGGGUUCCUGUCCAACGUUAAUCGGGGCAGGGUGAGUCGACCCCUAAGGCGAGGCCGAAAGGCGUAGUCGAUGGGAAACAGGUUAAUAUUCCUGUACUUGGUGUUACUGCGAAGGGGGGACGGAGAAGGCUAUGUUAGCCGGGCGACGGUUGUCCCGGUUUAAGCAUGUAGGCUGGUUAUCCAGGCAAAUCCGGAUAAUCAAGGCUGAGGUGUGAUGACGAGGCACUACGGUGCUGAAGUAACAAAUGCCCUGCUUCCAGGAAAAGCCUCUAAGCAUCAGGUAACAUUAAAUCGUACCCCAAACCGACACAGGUGGUCAGGUAGAGAAUACCAAGGCGCUUGAGAGAACUCGGGUGAAGGAACUAGGCAAAAUGGUGCCGUAACUUCGGGAGAAGGCACGCUGGUGUGUAGGUGAAGUCCCUGCGGAUGGAGCUGAGACCAGUCGAAGAUACCAGCUGGCUGCAACUGUUUAUUAAAAACACAGCACUGUGCAAACACGAAAGUGGACGUAUACGGUGUGACGCCUGCCCGGUGCCGGAAGGUUAAUUGAUGGGGUUAUCCGUAAGGAGAAGCUCUUGAUCGAAGCCCCGGUAAACGGCGGCCGUAACUAUAACGGUCCUAAGGUAGCGAAAUUCCUUGUCGGGUAAGUUCCGACCUGCACGAAUGGCGUAAUGAUGGCCAGGCUGUCUCCACCCGAGACUCAGUGAAAUUGAACUCGCUGUGAAGAUGCAGUGUACCCGCGGCAAGACGGAAAGACCCCGUGAACCUUUACUAUAGCUUGACACUGAACAUUGAGCCUUGAUGUGUAGGAUAGGUGGGAGGCUUUGAAGCGUGGACGCCAGUCUGCGUGGAGCCAACCUUGAAAUACCACCCUUUAAUGUUUGAUGUUCUAACGUUGGCCCCUUACCGGGGUUGCGGACAGUGUCUGGUGGGUAGUUUGACUGGGGCGGUCUCCUCCCAAAGCGUAACGGAGGAGCACGAAGGUUAGCUAAUCCUGGUCGGACAUCAGGAGGUUAGUGCAAUGGCAUAAGCUAGCUUGACUGCGAGCGUGACGGCGCGAGCAGGUGCGAAAGCAGGUCAUAGUGAUCCGGUGGUUCUGAAUGGAAGGGCCAUCGCUCAACGGAUAAAAGGUACUCCGGGGAUAACAGGCUGAUACCGCCCAAGAGUUCAUAUCGACGGCGGUGUUUGGCACCUCGAUGUCGGCUCAUCACAUCCUGGGGCUGAAGUAGGUCCCAAGGGUAUGGCUGUUCGCCAUUUAAAGUGGUACGCGAGCUGGGUUUAGAACGUCGUGAGACAGUUCGGUCCCUAUCUGCCGUGGGCGCUGGAGAAUUGAGGGGGGCUGCUCCUAGUACGAGAGGACCGGAGUGGACGCAUCACUGGUGUUCGGGUUGUCAUGCCAAUGGCACUGCCCGGUAGCUAAAUGCGGAAGAGAUAAGUGCUGAAAGCAUCUAAGCACGAAACUUGCCCCGAGAUGAGUUCUCCCUGAGACUUUAAGUCUCCUGAAGGAACGUUAAAGACGAUGACGUUGAUAGGCCGGGUGUGUAAGCGCAGCGAUGCGUUGAGCUAACCGGUACUAAUGAACCGUGAGGCUUAACCUU
Molecule: ribosomal RNA, 2902 nt
Filed under: Klebsiella pneumoniae
Lineage: Bacteria; Pseudomonadati; Pseudomonadota; Gammaproteobacteria; Enterobacterales; Enterobacteriaceae
Description: 23S ribosomal RNA
Rfam family: Bacterial large subunit ribosomal RNA
Source: RNAcentral